Molecule: long non-coding RNA, 249 nt
Organism: Pseudophryne corroboree (corroboree frog)
Lineage: Eukaryota; Metazoa; Chordata; Amphibia; Anura; Myobatrachidae
Exons: 3
Source: RefSeq, a predicted model, not a curated record
CAGAUCGUGACAUCGUCCCGGGUUGUAGUUGGAAGUCGCACACUGUAGCGCUACACAAAGAUGAUCCCUGUAUAUGUCGUGCUCUUAUCCAUGGUCGCAGCUGUACAAGCUGAAACCAAAUGCUACGAAAACCUUGGAUGUUUCACUAAUGACGGUCCAUAUGGAGACUUACUGCUGAGACCGGGAUCUAUGUUUCCUGAUUCUCCGAAAACUAUUAACACCCGAUUCCUUCUGUUAACUGUGGAUAAU